CGCCUCUCCCUGCUCCCCAAGCUUGGAAGCUGCGCCGCCCCCUGUGUCCCAGCGUGGCAUGGGGGCGUCAGGAUGCCAGCAUUGCCUGCUUCCGGUUCCUCUCCUCUGAAGACCACAGGACGCCCGCUGGCCUCUUCCUUGUCCUCUGUAUCUCUGUUCUACCCGCAGCAGUAAGACACCAAUUGCCAAGUAUGCAUUACGUCUAUCUUAUAUUAUACAAUCUCCUGAAUUAUAUUACUUGGUUAUUUAAAGACCACCUUUACAGAAACAAGUGGCCAAAGAUGAAACUGAGAGACGAGGCUAAGAAAGGAAAGGGAAAUGAACUGGAAGAUCCACAAACCAGUGGUGAUUGCUGCGUUUCUGCGUCUCUCCUCUGUUCUCUUCACCUGGCAGCACUGUGUCUUGCACUUUUGGGAGCCGCUACGCUGUCUCCCUCCAUCCCUGCUUCCACCAGUUGAUAGACUGUCUCCUAACGUGCGUGGACUUUGAUCUGCACUUUGACCCUCCUACGUUUGCUCACCUCUGCCCAUCUUAUGCCCGCCCCAGGUGACCAAGUUUAGCCCACAGGAGACAGCAGCCCUGCUGAGAAAAGAGCUUCUGGGCCAGCUUUUCACUGGGAAGAUGCGUCUCACAGGGCGGACCGAGGCAUUCUGAGCACUAAGGAGAGCACUUCCUGUUGCAAAUGGAAUCACAUGGAUUAGGUUUGUCUGUGUGUCUCACUGGGGUUUACUCUGUGGAUUGGCUGUUGGGAAGAAAUGCAUUUGAAGGAGAGUAACAGCGUUACUGCCUCGAGGCAGAAGAGAGGCUCUGUGAGUGCUCCUUUUAAUGUUCCAGUUACCCGCAAGGACUGCUCCUCAGUCGGUUGCGCCUUCUCCCUCAGCCACUGCAGCUGGCUGCAUUGGGUCAGCGGAACUGCCUGCUGCAAGACAGCGACACGACACUGGUUUGCAAGUGGCUCCUGAGAAGAAGCCAAGAGAGCGAGAGCAGUGUGGUUUCAUGUAAACGUGCAUCCUUCUGCAAAACGUCAGGCAAUAACUGUGAGGUCGGAGCUAGCACCGGCAAUUUGCGGUCCCUGCACAUAGAGCAGCCCACUGUGGGGCCAGAACACGCGCUGGUGCUGACUCACGCUCAGGUCAGCGCACAAGGGCGACGUCCAGCAAGGAAGGGGUCAACGUCGCGCUCUGCUUCUGAUGUACAUUUGUCUGAGAGGCCAUAAGAUAACAAAAAAUAUUAUAUUAAAAAC
RNAcentral lists this long non-coding RNA (1243 nucleotides) under Heterocephalus glaber (naked mole-rat). Its description in RNAcentral is "lncRNA (ENSHGLG00000026366.2)". Lineage: Eukaryota; Metazoa; Chordata; Mammalia; Rodentia; Bathyergidae. The record is from RNAcentral.